This 469-nucleotide ribosomal RNA is filed under the name uncultured bacterium. Its description in RNAcentral is "partial 16S ribosomal RNA". It matches the Rfam family "Bacterial small subunit ribosomal RNA", at positions 28 to 507 of the family's 1533-position model. The record is from RNAcentral.
GAUGAACGCUGGCGGCGUGCUUAACACAUGCCAGUCGAACGGUGAACCCGGAGCUUGCUCUGUGGGAUCAGUGGCGAACGGGUGAGUAACACGUGAGCAACCUGCCCCUGACUCUGGGAUAAGCGCUGGAAACGGCGUCUAAUACUGGAUAUGUGACGUGACCGCAUGGUCUGCGUUUGGAAAGAUUUUUCGGUUGGGGAUGGGCUCUCGGCCUAUCAGCUUGUUGGUGAGGUAAUGGCUCACCAAGGCGUCGACGGGUAGCCGGCCUGAGAGGGUGACCGGCCACACUGGGACUGAGACACGGCCCAGACUCCUACGGGAGGCAGCAGUGGGGAAUAUUGCACAAUGGGCGCAAGCCUGAUGCAGCAACGCCGCGUGAGGGAUGACGGCCUUCGGGUUGUAAACCUCUUUUAGCAGGGAAGAAGCGAAAGUGACGGUACCUGCAGAAAAAGCGCCGGCUAACUACGUG